This 497-nucleotide ribosomal RNA is filed under the name uncultured bacterium. Its description in RNAcentral is "partial 16S ribosomal RNA". It matches the Rfam family "Bacterial small subunit ribosomal RNA", at positions 28 to 507 of the family's 1533-position model. The record is from RNAcentral.
GAUGAACGCUGGCGGCGUGCCUAAUACAUGCAAGUCGAGCGAACGGACGAGAAGCUUGCUUCUCUGAUGUUAGCGGCGGACGGGUGAGUAACACGUGGAUAACCUACCUAUAAGACUGGGAUAACUUCGGAAAACCGGAGCUAAUACCGGAUAAUAUUUUGAACCGCAUGGUUCAAUAGUGAAAGACGGUCUUGCUGUCACUUAUAGAUGGAUCCGCGCUGCAUUAGCUAGUUGGUAAGGUAACGGCUUACCAAGGCAACGAUGCAUAGCCGACCUGAGAGGGUGAUCGGCCACACUGGAACUGAGACACGGUCCAGACUCCUACGGGAGGCAGCAGUAGGGAAUCUUCCGCAAUGGGCGAAAGCCUGACGGAGCAACGCCGCGUGAGUGAUGAAGGUCUUCGGAUCGUAAAACUCUGUUAUUAGGGAAGAACAUAUGUGUAAGUAACUGUGCACAUCUUGACGGUACCUAAUCAGAAAGCCACGGCUAACUACGUG